Molecule: ribosomal RNA, 793 nt
Filed under: Bacillus sp. MJAU D0072
Lineage: Bacteria; Bacillati; Bacillota; Bacilli; Caryophanales; Bacillaceae
Also listed under: 1 other name
Description: bacterial SSU rRNA
Rfam family: Bacterial small subunit ribosomal RNA
Source: RNAcentral
GCUAUAAUGCAGUCGAGCGGACAGAAGGGAGCUUGCUCCCGGAUGUUAGCGGCGGACGGGUGAGUAACACGUGGGUAACCUGCCUGUAAGACUGGGAUAACUCCGGGAAACCGGAGCUAAUACCGGAUAGUUCCUUGAACCGCAUGGUUCAAGGAUGAAAGACGGUUUCGGCUGUCACUUACAGAUGGACCCGCGGCGCAUUAGCUAGUUGGUGGGGUAAUGGCUCACCAAGGCGACGAUGCGUAGCCGACCUGAGAGGGUGAUCGGCCACACUGGGACUGAGACACGGCCCAGACUCCUACGGGAGGCAGCAGUAGGGAAUCUUCCGCAAUGGACGAAAGUCUGACGGAGCAACGCCGCGUGAGUGAUGAAGGUUUUCGGAUCGUAAAGCUCUGUUGUUAGGGAAGAACAAGUGCGAGAGUAACUGCUCGCACCUUGACGGUACCUAACCAGAAAGCCACGGCUAACUACGUGCCAGCAGCCGCGGUAAUACGUAGGUGGCAAGCGUUGUCCGGAAUUAUUGGGCGUAAAGGGCUCGCAGGCGGUUUCUUAAGUCUGAUGUGAAAGCCCCCGGCUCAACCGGGGAGGGUCAUUGGAAACUGGGAAACUUGAGUGCAGAAGAGGAGAGUGGAAUUCCACGUGUAGCGGUGAAAUGCGUAGAGAUGUGGAGGAACACCAGUGGCGAAGGCGACUCUCUGGUCUGUAACUGACGCUGAGGAGCGAAAGCGUGGGGAGCGAACAGGAUUAGAUACCCUGGUAGUCCACGCCGUAAACGAUGAGUGCUAAGUGUUAG